This 253-nucleotide ribosomal RNA is filed under the name uncultured bacterium. Its description in RNAcentral is "partial 16S ribosomal RNA". It matches the Rfam family "Bacterial small subunit ribosomal RNA", at positions 524 to 776 of the family's 1533-position model. The record is from RNAcentral.
UACGGAGGGGGCUAGCGUUGUUCGGAAUUACUGGGCGUAAAGCGCACGUAGGCGGCCUGUUAAGUCGGGUGUGAAAGCCCUGGGCUCAACCCAGGAAGUGCACUCGAAACUGGCGGGCUUGAAUAUGGAAGAGGGUCGCGGAAUUCCCGGUGUAGCGGUGAAAUGCGUAGAGAUCGGGAGGAACACCUGCGGCGAAAGCGGCUCACUGGACCAUAACUGACGCUGAUGCACGAAAGCUAGGGGAGCAAACAGG